This 225-nucleotide ribosomal RNA is filed under the name uncultured bacterium. RNAcentral's name for it is "partial 16S ribosomal RNA". It matches the Rfam family "Bacterial small subunit ribosomal RNA", at positions 109 to 334 of the family's 1533-position model. The record is from RNAcentral.
AGUAACGCGUGGGGAACCUGCCCUAUACAGGGGGAUAACAGCUGGAAACGGUUGCUAAUACCGCAUAAGCGCACAGAAUCGCAUGAUUCAGUGUGAAAAGCCCUGGCAGUAUAGGAUGGUCCCGCGUCUGAUUAGCUGGUUGGUGAGGUAACGGCUCACCAAGGCGACGAUCAGUAGCCGGCUUGAGAGAGUGAACGGCCACAUUGGGACUGAGACACGGCCCAA